GAAAAAAAAAAGUGUGGAUAAACAUUUAGCCUCUCUCUCUCUCUCUCUCUCUCUGUGAGUCUUAUUCAGGAGGAGAAGGGUCUGAAUUAUAAAAUUAAGGAGGAAGACGGAGAGAAAGAUGGCGGUGGAGCUGUUUGUGUUGGGGUGCACCGGAGUUGUGGUGUUCUUUCACGGAGCCAGUUUCUUGUUCCACCUUCUUACCCAACACCUUGCUGUUCGAUCUCUCAGUUUUCUGGGAUUUGUUGGGUGGUAGACAAAGAAAGCUAAUGUGUAAAUUCACCAGACCAGACGCUAAAUGUAAAGGCUCGAGAUCCCAAGUAUUGCUCAAGCAGAUUCUCUAUUUAGUAACAAAGGGGCAAUCCUAGGCAAAUCAUCUAUUUGAUUAUAUUUUGUAAAUUAUAUUACGUGAUUGUUGACGUUGAAUAAGUAAGUGUUAAUUAACGUAUUUAUUUUGUUCAGUGUGGUUUGCAAAUAGAUGUGAAGUUUUGUGUGCUUAAUUAACCAUCUUGUAAAAUUUGAUCCAAUUCCUGCCUGAGAAGUUUGGAGUACGGUCGGAUUGUACCUUAAUCAAGU
Molecule: small RNA, 573 nt
Filed under: Malus domestica (apple)
Lineage: Eukaryota; Viridiplantae; Streptophyta; Magnoliopsida; Rosales; Rosaceae
Description: sRNA MD10G0244900
Source: RNAcentral